GGGAGUAUAGUUGAGUGGUACAGCAUUCGCCUAGCGUGUGCAAAAACCUGGAUUCUACUCCCAGCACACCCA
Molecule: non-coding RNA, 72 nt
Organism: Heterocephalus glaber (naked mole-rat)
Lineage: Eukaryota; Metazoa; Chordata; Mammalia; Rodentia; Bathyergidae
Source: Rfam